RNAcentral lists this ribosomal RNA (1276 nucleotides) under Enterococcus faecium. RNAcentral describes it as "bacterial SSU rRNA". It matches the Rfam family "Bacterial small subunit ribosomal RNA", at positions 8 to 1255 of the family's 1533-position model. The record is from RNAcentral. Lineage: Bacteria; Bacillati; Bacillota; Bacilli; Lactobacillales; Enterococcaceae.
GAGAGUUUGAUCCUGGCUCAGGACGAACGCUGGCGGCGUGCCUAAUACAUGCAAGUCGUACGCUUCUUUUUCCACCGGAGCUUGCUCCACCGGAAAAAGAAGAGUGGCGAACGGGUGAGUAACACGUGGGUAACCUGCCCAUCAGAAGGGGAUAACACUUGGAAACAGGUGCUAAUACCGUAUAACAAUCGAAACCGCAUGGUUUUGAUUUGAAAGGCGCUUUCGGGUGUCGCUGAUGGAUGGACCCGCGGUGCAUUAGCUAGUUGGUGAGGUAACGGCUCACCAAGGCCACGAUGCAUAGCCGACCUGAGAGGGUGAUCGGCCACAUUGGGACUGAGACACGGCCCAAACUCCUACGGGAGGCAGCAGUAGGGAAUCUUCGGCAAUGGACGAAAGUCUGACCGAGCAACGCCGCGUGAGUGAAGAAGGUUUUCGGAUCGUAAAACUCUGUUGUUAGAGAAGAACAAGGAUGAGAGUAACUGUUCAUCCCUUGACGGUAUCUAACCAGAAAGCCACGGCUAACUACGUGCCAGCAGCCGCGGUAAUACGUAGGUGGCAAGCGUUGUCCGGAUUUAUUGGGCGUAAAGCGAGCGCAGGCGGUUUCUUAAGUCUGAUGUGAAAGCCCCCGGCUCAACCGGGGAGGGUCAUUGGAAACUGGGAGACUUGAGUGCAGAAGAGGAGAGUGGAAUUCCAUGUGUAGCGGUGAAAUGCGUAGAUAUAUGGAGGAACACCAGUGGCGAAGGCGGCUCUCUGGUCUGUAACUGACGCUGAGGCUCGAAAGCGUGGGGAGCAAACAGGAUUAGAUACCCUGGUAGUCCACGCCGUAAACGAUGAGUGCUAAGUGUUGGAGGGUUUCCGCCCUUCAGUGCUGCAGCUAACGCAUUAAGCACUCCGCCUGGGGAGUACGACCGCAAGGUUGAAACUCAAAGGAAUUGACGGGGGCCCGCACAAGCGGUGGAGCAUGUGGUUUAAUUCGAAGCAACGCGAAGAACCUUACCAGGUCUUGACAUCCUUUGACCACUCUAGAGAUAGAGCUUCCCCUUCGGGGGCAAAGUGACAGGUGGUGCAUGGUUGUCGUCAGCUCGUGUCGUGAGAUGUUGGGUUAAGUCCCGCAACGAGCGCAACCCUUAUUGUUAGUUGCCAUCAUUCAGUUGGGCACUCUAGCAAGACUGCCGGUGACAAACCGGAGGAAGGUGGGGAUGACGUCAAAUCAUCAUGCCCCUUAUGACCUGGGCUACACACGUGCUACAAUGGGAAGUACAACGAGUUGCGAAGU